RNAcentral lists this ribosomal RNA (630 nucleotides) under Bacillus cereus. Its description in RNAcentral is "bacterial SSU rRNA". It matches the Rfam family "Bacterial small subunit ribosomal RNA", at positions 34 to 648 of the family's 1533-position model. The record is from RNAcentral. Lineage: Bacteria; Bacillati; Bacillota; Bacilli; Caryophanales; Bacillaceae.
AGCUUGGCGCGUGCUAUAAUGCAGUCGAGCGAAUGGAUUAAGAGCUUGCUCUUAUGAAGUUAGCGGCGGACGGGUGAGUAACACGUGGGUAACCUGCCCAUAAGACUGGGAUAACUCCGGGAAACCGGGGCUAAUACCGGAUAACAUUUUGAACCGCAUGGUUCGAAAUUGAAAGGCGGCUUCGGCUGUCACUUAUGGAUGGACCCGCGUCGCAUUAGCUAGUUGGUGAGGUAACGGCUCACCAAGGCAACGAUGCGUAGCCGACCUGAGAGGGUGAUCGGCCACACUGGGACUGAGACACGGCCCAGACUCCUACGGGAGGCAGCAGUAGGGAAUCUUCCGCAAUGGACGAAAGUCUGACGGAGCAACGCCGCGUGAGUGAUGAAGGCUUUCGGGUCGUAAAACUCUGUUGUUAGGGAAGAACAAGUGCUAGUUGAAUAAGCUGGCACCUUGACGGUACCUAACCAGAAAGCCACGGCUAACUACGUGCCAGCAGCCGCGGUAAUACGUAGGUGGCAAGCGUUAUCCGGAAUCAUUGGGCGUAAAGCGCGCGCAGGUGGUUUCUUAAGUCUGAUGUGAAAGCCCACGGCUCAACCGUGGAGGGUCAUUGGAAACUGGGAGACUCGAGUG